RNAcentral lists this ribosomal RNA (232 nucleotides) under uncultured bacterium. RNAcentral describes it as "partial 16S ribosomal RNA". It matches the Rfam family "Bacterial small subunit ribosomal RNA", at positions 99 to 334 of the family's 1533-position model. The record is from RNAcentral.
CGGACGGGUGAGUAAUGUCUGGGAAACUGCCUGAUGGAGGGGGAUAACUACUGGAAACGGUAGCUAAUACCGCAUAACGUCGCAAGACCAAAGAGGGGGACCUUCGGGCCUCUUGCCAUCGGAUGUGCCCAGAUGGGAUUAGCUAGUAGGUGGGGUAAGGGCUCACCUAGGCGACGAUCCCUAGCUGGUCUGAGAGGAUGACCAGCCACACUGGAACUGAGACACGGUCCAG